UACGCCUCAUAGAGCAGCAAAGGCCAGAUCAGGUAUGCAAAUCUUUAAGUCUGAUAACCCCAAAUCCUUAGUUACAGUAAUAGUAGAGGAAAUAAGAUAUGCCACUGAGAAGAUAGGGAAACAGAGCUCCACAGUGUGACUUCCUCAAGCAACACAAGACAUCUCAGGAAGAGAAACACAGCCUUGUCUGGAUGCUGCCAUUUCAGUCCACAUGCACAUGAGCUGUGAAGGAUGAGGAUCACAAGGAUGGCCAAUACACAUCUCCUAGGUGCUCCAACAACAUCACUGCAAACGUUUCCAGAAGAAAGGAAAGGACCUAGAAGAGGCUGACCUUUGAGCUUACAGCUCUUUGCCCAUUGUUCUGCCUUUUCAUCCCAUUGUGAUGUGAACAGAAGUCCCUGCAGAGCUCUGUGGCAAGAGAAAACAUGACCAUAACUGUGGCCAUGCAUGUUCAGAGAUCACAGAAUAAAAAGCUUUUCCCUGCAUGCAGUUGCUAGAGGUGUGACUGGUCCCUGAGAUCCAGCUUUCAGUGUACAUCAUUUGAUCCUACUUUUGACUCCCUUCUGCUCCACAGCAAAUCACUAGGAUUGCAGUGAUGUCUUCUAUGGAAAGGAGAGAUAAUGAAGUAGAAAGAGCAUGGCCAUUAAUCUUCUCAUUAAUCUUCCAGCAGAUGUUUCUGCAUUAUGACGUGAUACUUAUCUGCCUGCUUCUGUACUAAAGAAUGUACUAUGAAGCAAUUUCAUUCUGCAGUCACAUAUGAACACAAAAGGGAUGAGUACCUUCAUGCUGACUUUGAGCUCUCAUACUCGGAGAAUAUUUGUCCUCUCUCCCCACAGCUCCAUAUCAAAAAGUCCUGUUAUAAAAAGAACAUCUCCAGAAGAUAUGAUAUUCAUUUUGGGCAGAACUGGCGAUUUAACAUGCCUGAGGGUCUAUUAGAAAGUUAAGCCCCUUCU
This is a long non-coding RNA of Gallus gallus (chicken), 953 nucleotides long. RefSeq lists it as uncharacterized. NCBI's taxonomy places the organism in Eukaryota, Metazoa, Chordata, Aves, Galliformes, Phasianidae. The transcript has 3 exons. The record is from RefSeq and is a predicted model, not a curated record.